Molecule: ribosomal RNA, 279 nt
Filed under: uncultured bacterium
Lineage: Bacteria
Description: partial 16S ribosomal RNA
Rfam family: Bacterial small subunit ribosomal RNA
Source: RNAcentral
UGCCAGCCGCCGCGGUAACACGGGGGGCGCAAGCGUUAUUCGGAAUUAUUGGGCGUAAAGGGCGCGCAGGCGGUUUGUUAAGUCGGAUGUGAAAGCCCAGGGCUCAACCGUGGAAGUGCAUUCGAAACUGGCAGACUUGAGUCCCGGAGAGGGUGGUGGAAUUCCCAGUGUAGAGGUGAAAUUCGUAGAUAUUGGGAGGAACAUCCGUGGCGAAGGCGACCACCUGGACGGAGACUGACGCUGAGGUGCGAAAGCGUGGGUAGCGAACGGGAUUAGAUA